CUACAUGGUCGGCAAAGCAAGGGAAACCUUGUGACGCAAAGCUCGAGAGCCUGUAAGAUGGCAGUCAGUUGCAUAA
Molecule: non-coding RNA, 76 nt
Filed under: Eubacterium ruminantium
Lineage: Bacteria; Bacillati; Bacillota; Clostridia; Eubacteriales; Eubacteriaceae
Description: GEMM cis-regulatory element
Rfam family: c-di-GMP-I riboswitch aptamer
About the family: GEMM was predicted in a large-scale screen for bacterial structured RNA regulatory elements. Genes associated with GEMM are involved in a diverse array of functions, including chemotaxis regulation, signal transduction, secretion and chitin.
Source: RNAcentral